Molecule: ribosomal RNA, 468 nt
Filed under: uncultured bacterium
Lineage: Bacteria
Description: partial 16S ribosomal RNA
Rfam family: Bacterial small subunit ribosomal RNA
Source: RNAcentral
GACGAACGCUGGCGGCGUGCUUAACACAUGCAAGUCGAACGGAAAGGCCCUGCUUUUGUGGGGUGCUCGAUUGGCGAACGGGUGAGUAACACGUGAGUAACCUGCCCUUGACUUUGGGAUAACUUCAGGAAACUGGGGAUAAUACCGGAUAGGAGCUCCUGCUGCAUGGUGGGGGUUGGAAAGUUUCGGCGGUUGGGGAUGGAUUCGCGGCUUAUCAGCUUGUUGGUGGGGUAGUGGCGUACCAAGGCUUUGACGGAUAGCCGGCCUGAGAGGGUGACCGGCCACAUUGGGACUGAGAUACGGCGCAGACUCCUACGGGAGGCAGCAGUGGGGAAUAUUGCACAAUGGGGGGGAGCCUGAUGCAGCAACGCCGCGUGCGGGAUGACGGCCUUCGGGUUGUAAACCGCUUUCGACUGUGACGAAGCGUGAGUGACGGUAAUGGGUAAAGAAGCACCGGCUAACUACGUG